AUGGGGAAUUUCGUGAAAAGUCUCCUGUUGGUUGGUAAAGCCUGCUCUGCCCUGAGAAAGGAGCUGGGGUCCCCAGGAUUUUGGGGAGCCUGCAGGAAGGAAAGGGCCCUGGUGCAAGGUAGGGGGCUGGAGGGGUGGUUGUGGCCCUUUAGAGCCACCCGAGCCCCUGCUCCCCUCGCAUCCCAGCUCCAAAGGGCUGAGCCUGGAAUUUGGGCUUGGCUCCUGCCCUGCCUGGUUCGGGGCAAGGGCUGGAGACCUUGCUGUGGGGUAGGAAAAACCUCUUCCCAUCCUGACCGGUGCAGCCCUACCCGUGUUUCGGAGGGCACCUGGACGCACCGAGCUGCAAAUCCCAAACCACAGCACAAUGGAACCACCCAGGGGACACCAAACCCCAAAAACCAAGCGAAGAGCCAUCACCUGAACCUCGCGGGCAGCCCAGGAGCAGCUUCAUGGCCAGGAACCUACAGACAGGGGGAUGUCGGGACACCACGCCGGGUGGGUACCAACGUCCCCAAGCAUCCCUCUCGCUGCGCCACCCGGCCACCACGCUCAGCCCCAGGGCCUGACGCAGGGGACAAGGCCCUGGGGGGGGGCUCUGGUGCUGUCCCCGUCUGGUGCUGUCAGCCCUCGGCUCAUCCCCAUCCACGGCAGAGACUCGGUGGCUCCACAGCAGAACGAAACCAGCUGGGAUUUCGGCACGAAGGAGCCGGGAGCGGUGCCAGGAGCGACCUCCCAGCGCAGGAGCAGCUCCCAGAGCCCCUCGUGAGACCCCAGCGAGGCACAAGCAACCCCCAAACCCCCCCCCCCCCCGGCGCACCACCCCCCCCCCCCCCUCCCCCCACCCCCCCCGGGGGGGGNNNNNNNNNNGAAAAAAAAACAGUGACUUUUGCAGACCUCAGCUUGGAAAGGGCUUGGUCCAUGCCCAAAGGGCUCCAACCUGGCUGCAGCUCCAAGGGGACCUCAGCCGGGCUGCCCUGGUGGUGCAGGACCCUGCUGCAGCCCUGGGGGGGUCCCAGCUCGCCCCCUCCGUGCUGCUCCACCGCUGCUCCCCAUGGCCAAGCCGCUGCUGCCCUCCGCCGGCCGCUGCCCACCCUGCACCCAUGGGUGCUGCCCUCCUGCUUCAGCCAGGACCCCCCCUCCAGGCUGCUCCUGCUGGGGUGGCAGAGGGAAAGGACCCCUCCUGCCCCCAGCAGACCCCUCAGCUCUCACCUCUCUCCCCAGAAGCCCCCAGGGAGGCUGCUUGGGGUCUUUUUGGGGAAGGCAGCCAGGGAUGGGGCUGAGCCCAGCAAACUCAUUUCGUUUGUGGCUGGAGCUCCCCCAGCUCCACUUGGACCCCUUCCUCCUGGAGGAAAAGCUUCAAAGGGGUGA
Molecule: long non-coding RNA, 1368 nt
Filed under: Anas zonorhyncha (Eastern spot-billed duck)
Lineage: Eukaryota; Metazoa; Chordata; Aves; Anseriformes; Anatidae
Description: lncRNA (ENSAZOG00000006986.1)
Source: RNAcentral